This 262-nucleotide ribosomal RNA is filed under the name uncultured archaeon. RNAcentral's name for it is "partial 16S ribosomal RNA". It matches the Rfam family "Archaeal small subunit ribosomal RNA", at positions 748 to 1008 of the family's 1478-position model. The record is from RNAcentral.
AGGGUGUAAACGCUGCAGACUUGGUGUUGGAGGCCCUUUGGGGGGCAUUCAGUGCCGGAGAGAAGUUGUUAAGUCUGCUACUUGGGGAGUACGUCCGCAAGGAUGAAACUUAAUGGAAUUGGCGGGGGAGCACCGCAACGGGAGGAGCGUGCGGUUUAAUUGGAUUCAACACCGUAAAACUCACCAGGGAAGACUGUUACAUGAAGGCCGAGAUGAAGACUCUGCUAGAUUUUCAGAGAGGAGGUGCAUGGCGUCAGUGACU